RNAcentral lists this long non-coding RNA (1461 nucleotides) under Prunus persica (peach). RNAcentral describes it as "long non-coding RNA (PPER_LNC000404)". Lineage: Eukaryota; Viridiplantae; Streptophyta; Magnoliopsida; Rosales; Rosaceae. The record is from RNAcentral.
UUUGAUUUGUAUUGGGUAGUUUCUUCUGUCUUCAAACAUGUCUUUUAUCACCAAUGCCAUGUGUAAGAUUGUAAUCUCUGCAAUACAGAAUGCCACUACCCAUGUACUCACCGAAAAAAUCAGGGUCAUUGAAAGCUUGAACAAGCUACCACAUUUGUCAGUAACAAUCUAUUCUCAUUGGAGGAAGAAAUCAAGUUAAACGAGUGAGUGAUUUAUAUAUAUAUUUUAAGGGGGUGGAUCCGUAGCACCAUGUUUUUGACACAAGUUUUGACACAAAUUUUAAACCCUUAGAUUAGACUACAAUAAAUGGCUGAGAUUAAAUAAACUAAUUCUUUCAACUUAAAAUAAUUAUAAUUUAAUUUAAUUAACUUUGCUAUUCAAUUUUCUCUCUCCACAUUUAUAUUUUCACUUCUUCCUAAAAGCAUCAACAUUCUAUCUCACGACAUCUUCUUCUUCUUUUUCAUGACUUUCCCUUUUUUUUACUUCUCUCUUCUUUUUGCCCACACACUAUUUUCCUCCAUAACAAGAAACAACGAACCCAACCCAUAUAGCAAAAUCAAAUACCCAGUAGGGAAGAUUGACGUAGGGAGGAGGAAGGUUGAUCUUUGUAAUUUUUUUUUUCGUUUUUUUUUUUUCUGGUGCUGCUAAAUUAAAACCUCUAUUUCCCCUUGCUGAGAAAAACAAAAAAAGGAUCAAGCAGUUAGUUGAUUGAGAUUCAUUUUGAUCAUCCCCAAUGAAAUUUCAAGAACCUAAGAGCAUGAUUACCCUGCCCUCCAUGGAACUCCCCCAAAUUCGUUUUGAUUCUGAGUGGAGAGAAAGUAAUUGCAUAUAACUAGCAGUAGGCAAAUGGAGAUUUUUGGCACAUCGAGGCUGUGGAGGAGAUUACGCUGGGCAUGGAGGAAGGGGGAUGUAGAAUUUGGAGACAGUCCAAUUCAUAAUUAUUAGAUUAAAAUAAUAAUAAUUAGAAUAAAUGUAUUAUUUCCAAGAUAAUAAUAAAUUAGCUGUGAGAUUUAAUCUGAGCCAUUAAUAGUGCUUAAAUCUAAGGGUUCAAAAUUUGUGUCAAAAGUUGUGUCAAAAAUAUGGUGCCACGGAUCCGCCCCCAUAUUUUAAUUGUGUUAAAAAAAAUAUAAAUACUUAUAUAUUUGUUGUUAACAGGGAUGCUAAAAUGGAAGGGUAUGGACAUGUGAUAUAAACCAAGUCAAAGGCCAUCGUAGCAGCAACACCACCAUUGACAGGGAAGAGUCCAUUGCAGUAGCAGCAGUUAUAUGUUUUUAUGUUUUAUGUUUCAUUUUUAUAAGUUUAUUAUAAAUUAAGAUGGAUGCGACAUAAAAAAUACGUUUAUCCUUUAAUUUUAAUGUACUCUGGAUGAGUCUAUUCUAGUUUUAAUAUGUUAACUUAAAUUUAAGAGUCUAGCAAAAGGAAACAAACUUAAAUUUAAGAGAGAUGUGUGUUUGGUUAGAG